GACGAACGCUGGCGGCAUGCCUAAUACAUGCAAGUCGAGCGAACAGAUGAAGUGCUUGCACUUCUGACGUUAGCGGCGAACGGGUGAGUAACGCGUAAGGAAUCUACCUAUAAGCGGAGGAUAACAUUCGGAAACGGGUGCUAAUACCGCAUAAUAUCUUCUUCCGCAUGGAAGAAGAUUGAAAGACGGCCCUGCUGUCACUUAUAGAUGACCUUGCGGUGCAUUAGUUAGUUGGUGGGGUAAUGGCCUACCAAGACGAUGAUGCAUAGCCGACCUGAGAGGGUGAUCGGCCACAUUGGGACUGAGACACGGCCCAAACUCCUACGGGAGGCAGCAGUAGGGAAUCUUCCGCAAUGGGCGAAAGCCUGACGGAGCAAUGCCGCGUGAGUGAAGAAGGCCUUCGGGUCGUAAAACUCUGUUAUAAGAGAAGAACAAAUUGUAGAGUAACUGCUACAGUCUUGACGGUAUCUUAUCAGAAAGCCACGGCUAACUACGUGCCAGCCGCCGCGGUAA
RNAcentral lists this ribosomal RNA (513 nucleotides) under uncultured bacterium. Its description in RNAcentral is "partial 16S ribosomal RNA". It matches the Rfam family "Bacterial small subunit ribosomal RNA", at positions 28 to 523 of the family's 1533-position model. The record is from RNAcentral.